Molecule: ribosomal RNA, 705 nt
Filed under: uncultured Pelagibacterales bacterium
Lineage: Bacteria; Pseudomonadati; Pseudomonadota; Alphaproteobacteria; Candidatus Pelagibacterales
Description: partial 16S ribosomal RNA
Source: RNAcentral
CCUUAAGGUAGAACCAACUCCCAUGGUGUGACGGGCGGUGUGUACAAGACCCGGGAACGUAUUCACCGCGGCGCGCUGAUCCGSGAUUACUAGUAAUUCCAGCUUCAUGUACUCGAGUUGCAGAGUACAAUCCGAACUGAGGCAUUUUUUUAGGAUUUGCUUGAUGUCGCCAUCUUGCUUCCUAUUGUAAAUGCCAUUGUAGCACGUGUGUAGCCCAACACGUAAGGGCCAUGAGGACUUGACGUCAUCCCCACCUUCCUCCAGCUUAUCACUGGCAGUUCUUUCAGAGUGCCCAACUAAAUGAUGGCAACUAAAAGUGAGGGUUGCGCUCGUUGCGGGACUUAACCCAACAUCUCACGACACGAGCUGACGACAGCCAUGCAGCACCUGUGUUUCGUCCGGCCGAACCGAAAACUUUGAAUCUCUUAAAGUCGCGACGAACAUGUCAAGUGUUGGUAAGGUUCUGCGCGUAUCUUCGAAUUAAACCACAUGCUCCACUACUUGUGCGGGUCCCCGUCAAUUCAUUUGAGUUUUAACCUUGCGGUCGUACUCCCCAGGCGGUGUGUUUAAUGCUUUCGCUGCGACACUGAAAAUAAAUUUCCNACGUCUAACACACAUCGUUUACGGCAUGGACUACGAGGGUAUCUAAUCCUCUUCGCUACCCAUGCUUUCGUUCCUCAGUGUCAGUAAUGAUCCAGAAAGCUG